This 402-nucleotide ribosomal RNA is filed under the name uncultured bacterium. RNAcentral's name for it is "bacterial SSU rRNA". It matches the Rfam family "Bacterial small subunit ribosomal RNA", at positions 355 to 774 of the family's 1533-position model. The record is from RNAcentral.
UGGGGAAUCUUGCACAAUGGGGGCAACCCUGAUGCAGCGACGCCGCGUGAGCGAUGAAGCCCUUCGGGGCGUAAAGCUCUUUCGACCGGAACGAUAAUGACGGUACCGGGAGAAGAAGCUGCGGCUAACUACGUGCCAGCAGCCGCGGUAAUACGUAGGCAGCAAGCGUUGUUCGGAGUUACUGGGCGUAAAGAGUGCGUAGGCGGUUUUCUAAGUUCGGUGUGAAAUCUCCCGGCUUAACUGGGAGGGUGCGCCGAAGACUGGGAAGCUGGAGUGUGGGAAAGGAAGGCGGAAUUCCUGGUGUAGCGGUGAAAUGCGUAGAUAUCAGGAGGAACACCGGCGGUGUAGACGGCUUGCUAGACCAUAACUGACGCUGAGGCACGAAAGCGUGGGUAGCAAACA